AGGGAACCAUGGAUCAUCAUCACAGUUGGCACUCAAGAUAUCAUUGAGAACUCCAGAGAUUGGCCUAUGGAUUGUUCCUGGUGGUCCCUAGAAGCGUGUGCCAGUUAUGCAGGUGGAGAGAAGGUACUCCAGAGGAAGGAGCUUGAGAGAGGAAGCCUGCUGAGCUGAUCAUAAUUAAGUUCCUUGAUGAUGGCCUGGACAAUGAGAACGUUGAACCCUGAGCGGUUCCCUCACUUGCCCACGAACCUGCAGCUCGAGGGACUGCAAAGCCUGAUUCAAACCUGAAAGGCCUGUCUCUGCAGCCAGC
This is a long non-coding RNA of Rhinopithecus roxellana (golden snub-nosed monkey), 307 nucleotides long. RefSeq lists it as uncharacterized. The transcript is spliced from 3 exons. The record is from RefSeq and is a predicted model, not a curated record. NCBI's taxonomy places the organism in Eukaryota, Metazoa, Chordata, Mammalia, Primates, Cercopithecidae.